UUCGGCUCGUAAAACUCUGUUGUUAAAGAAGAACAUAUCUGAGAGUAACUGUUCAGGUAUUGACGGUAUUUAACCAGAAAGCCACGGCUAACUACGUGCCAGCAGCCGCGGUAAUACGUAGGUGGCAAGCGUUGUCCGGAUUUAUUGGGCGUAAAGCGAGCGCAGGCGGUUUUUUAAGUCUGAUGUGAAAGCCUUCGGCUCAACCGAAGAAGUGCAUCGGAAACUGGGAAACUUGAGUGCAGAAGAGGACAGUGGAACUCCAUGUGUAGCGGUGAAAUGCGUAGAUAUAUGGAAGAACACCAGUGGCGAAGGCGGCUGUCUGGUCUGUAACUGACGCUGAGGCUCGAAAGUAUGGGUAGCAAACAGGAUUAGAUACCCUGGUAGUCCAUACCGUAAACGAUGAAUGCUAAGUGU
Molecule: ribosomal RNA, 414 nt
Filed under: Lactiplantibacillus plantarum
Lineage: Bacteria; Bacillati; Bacillota; Bacilli; Lactobacillales; Lactobacillaceae
Description: bacterial SSU rRNA
Rfam family: Bacterial small subunit ribosomal RNA
Source: RNAcentral